Molecule: ribosomal RNA, 301 nt
Filed under: uncultured bacterium
Lineage: Bacteria
Description: partial 16S ribosomal RNA
Rfam family: Bacterial small subunit ribosomal RNA
Source: RNAcentral
CAGUCGCCGCGGGAAUACGAAGGGUGCAAGCGUUAAUCGGAAUUACUGGGCGUAAAGCGUGCGUAGGCGGUGAGUUAAGUCUGCUGUGAAAUCCCCGGGCUCAACCUGGGAAUGGCAGUGGAUACUGGCUCGCUAGAGUGUGUCAGAGGAUGGUGGAAUUCUCGGUGUAGCGGUGAAAUGCGUAGAGAUCGGGAGGAACAUCAGUGGCGAAGGCGGCCAUCUGGGACAACACUGACGCUGAGGCACGAAAGCGUGGGGAGCAAACAGGAUUAGAUACCCCUGUAGUCCCUGUCUCUUAUAC